RNAcentral lists this ribosomal RNA (433 nucleotides) under Labyrinthulomycetes sp. RNAcentral's name for it is "SSU rRNA". It matches the Rfam family "Eukaryotic small subunit ribosomal RNA", at positions 994 to 1449 of the family's 1831-position model. Lineage: Eukaryota; Bigyra. The record is from RNAcentral.
GGGAUCGAAGAUGAUUAGAUACCAUCGUAGUCUUAACCAUAAACUAUGCCGACUAGGGAUUAGCGGAGUUUUUAAAUGUCUCUGUUAGCACCUUAUGAGAAAUCAAAGUUUUUGGGUUCCGGGGGGAGUAUGGUCGCAAGGCUGAAACUUAAAGGAAUUGACGGAAGGGCACCACCAGGAGUGGAGCCUGCGGCUUAAUUUGACUCAACACGGGGAAACUUACCAGGUCCAGACAAAGUAAGGAUUGACAGAUUGAGAGCUCUUUCUUGAUUCUUUGGGUGGUGGUGCAUGGCCGUUCUUAGUUGGUGGAGUGAUUUGUCUGGUUAAUUCCGAUAACGAACGAGACCCCAACCUGCUAACUAGACUAGAGUAUUUCACGAUACUUUAGCGCUUCUUAGAGGGACAUUUCGGAUCUACCGGAAGGAAGUUUGAG